This 460-nucleotide ribosomal RNA is filed under the name uncultured bacterium. Its description in RNAcentral is "partial 16S ribosomal RNA". It matches the Rfam family "Bacterial small subunit ribosomal RNA", at positions 338 to 795 of the family's 1533-position model. The record is from RNAcentral.
CCUACGGGCGGCAGCAGUGAGGAAUAUUGGUCAAUGGGAGGAAUCCUGAACCAGCCAUGCCGCGUGCAGGACGACGGCUCUACGAGUUGUAAACUGCUUUUGUACCGGGUUAAAAUGCUCUACGAGUAGGGUUUUGAAAGUAUGGUACGAAUAAGGAUCGGCUAACUCCGUGCCAGCAGCCGCGGUAAUACGGAGGAUCCGAGCGUUAUCCGGAUUUAUUGGGUUUAAAGGGUGCGUAGGUUGUUUUAUAAGUUAGCGGUGAAAGACCGAUGCUCAAAAUCGGGGCUGCCGCGGAUACUGUAGGACUAGAGAUCGGAUGCAGCAGGCGGAAUGUGUAGUGUAGCGGUGAAAUGCAUAGAUAUUACACAGAACACCGAUUGCGAAGGCAGCUUGCUAGGCCGGAUCUGACACUGAUGCACGAAAGCGUGGGGAUCGAACAGGAUUAGAUACCCUUGUAGUC